Molecule: small nuclear RNA, 125 nt
Filed under: Alligator mississippiensis (American alligator)
Lineage: Eukaryota; Metazoa; Chordata; Crocodylia; Alligatoridae
Description: U2 spliceosomal RNA
Rfam family: U2 spliceosomal RNA
About the family: U2 is a small nuclear RNA (snRNA) component of the spliceosome (involved in pre-mRNA splicing). Complementary binding between U2 snRNA (in an area lying towards the 5' end but 3' to hairpin I) and the branchpoint sequence (BPS) of the intron results the bulging out of an unpaired adenosine, on the BPS, which initiates a nucleophilic attack at the intronic 5' splice site, thus starting the first of two transesterification reactions that mediate splicing.
Source: Rfam by way of RNAcentral
GCAGCAUCUCAGCCUUUUGGCUAAGAUCAAGCUUUUUUAGCACUGAGGAGAGGGUGUCAGGGCUAGCUUUGGCCCUUGCUGUGCUGGCCUGGUAUUGCAGUACCUCCAGGCCUGGUGCCAGUUCA